GCAGAAAGGCUAUAACCAUGGACAAGGCAGCUACUCCUACUCGAACUCCUACAACUCUCCCGGGGGCGGGGGCGGAUCCGACUACAACUACGAGAGCAAAUUCAGUGAGUUGGCUUCCAGAGCCCCUCGGCCGGGCCAGGGUCCAGGCCCCAGCAGUACAGCCCACGGAGUGGCAGAAGCUCGGCACUGCCCAGACCUCUGGCUGAGGGCCUUAGGAGGAGGACAAGUGGUGCUGGCUGCGGGCGGGUGCUAGGAAGAUGGGGCGUGGGACCUCAUGGUGCAGUCUCCGCCACUCUCUCUGGUGUGUUCUCCGAAGGCAGGGUAGCUGAGGCCUCUGUCUCGAGGCCCUGGCUGUGGGUGAGGCUGCAAGGUGACUUCCUGGGACUUGCUCUAGAGAGUUUUGCAUCCAGCCCCUGCAAGAGCCUGACCUCUCCGCCACCGCCUUUCCGCUUCCUCAUGCGCAGACCCAGCAGGCCCGGGCUGCACCAGUGACCCAGUGGGGCUGAGUAGACUACAGUGGUAGUGGAGGCCGAAGCGGCGGGAACAGCUACGGCUCAGGCGGGGCAUCCUACAACCCAGGGUCACACGGGGGCUACGGCGGAGGUUCUGGGGGCGGCUCCUCAUACCAAGGCAAACAAGGAGGCUACUCACAGUCGAACUACAACUCCCCGGGGUCCGGCCAGAACUACAGUGGCCCUCCCAGCUCCUACCAGUCCUCACAAGGCGGCUAUGGCAGAAACGCAGACCACAGCAUGAACUACCAGUACAGAUAAGCCCCCGCGGGGCGGAGAUUUCUACCUUCUGCACUUACUCCCCAUCAGAAGAUCGAGUUUUAUGCAUCACAGUUAACAUGUCAGCUGGCCCUCCAGGCCCCCGCCCCCACCCCGUCCACGUUGCUGUGUCGUGAGGUGCAGCGGGUCACCCUGUGGCCCGUCCUGUGACCCAUAUUUAGCCGUGUUUGGGACUCCGUGUCUUCAAUGGUUUGUUAGUUGCCAUUACAACUUUGUCUGGGUAGAGUUUUUGAGUUUUUGCAGUUCAGUAUCCCUCUGUCUAUUCACACUUCGUGUUAGUGGUAACUCAGUUUGUCUUUAAAUAGUUACGGAAGGGAUACGUCAUUUGUUAAUGCUUUUGUGAAGUGAGUUACACGAGCUUUCUGUAUUUUAAUGCUUUAGUGUUUCAGUUUUAUAAGUGAAGAUUUUAUUUUAAAAACCAGUGGGAAAGAGUGGGGGGUUUCUUUUUAUGUCUGGGUCAUUCAGGCAGUACAUCUGAAUUAAGCUGAAUGUAGACAAAUAAAGAAAAACAAAACUGCGCCCGUCUUAGGCCUGGGUGUCUGACCCACCAGCAGUGCAAUGGGCAGGUUUCCCCACUCUAUUCCUGCUCUUGGGAAAGCAGGGUGGGCCAUCAGGAUGGUCCCUGGUCCUUAGAGAGGGUCCAGUUCCAGGCUUCUAGACAUUUUACUCAUGCUCAGCGAAGGCUGGUUCCUGGUCCCCUGGGCUGUGUAGACCCGGUGUCCCACCAGGCUCCAGGCUCCCACCGUCUACAGAGGGGCUUACAGCGCCCAUUCUGGUCUUGGGGAACCCAUCACAAAAUAGGCUUUUUCUGCUCCCUGAUUCUGGUGUAGUUCUAAGUACGCAGUGAUCUCCUCUGUAGGGGCGUGCCUGUGGUGGAACAUAACGCAGUUACAAAAGAAAGGGCAGGUGAGGCCUGGGUCACCCCAGCCAUGAACCGUCAGUGGUUGGAGGGAGCUUCGUGUCUGUGCUGGAGCUGCAGCCUGCUCGCCAUCUGGAGGCUCAAUGGAGUGGGGAGUUGGGGUUCUCAUACCAGCAGAUUUCCCUAGAGCGUGAUUCUCCCAUCUGAGGCAAUCUUGCCUCCCAGGGGAAAUUUUGCAAUGUUUGGAGGAUGUUGUCACAGUUAGUAGCGGGUGCUCUGGGAUCUGGUGGAUAGAUGCCAAGGAUGCUGUCAAGCAUACUAUACUGCCCAGAACAGUGGCCCAUAGCAGGGACCUGCCCUAUCAAAAUAUCAGGCGUAUGGAGGUGGAGACCCAACGCUAGAGCAGCCCUUCUCAGCUCCACCCUGCCCGGGGAGGGAGGAGGAGCUCUGGUUUCAGAGCAGUGCCGGGAUUGCCUUUCCCCAGGAUCUGUGUCGGCCAUCCAGGAAGAACUGUACUGGCCAAGCCUGGGACCACACGUCUGCAGAGAUCCUGCUCUGCUGGCCUGAGCCCCAGGCCUUGGCCUCCUGUGCUUGGGUAACCAUGGCCACUGGGAAAAGCAAGGACCAUGUUUGACUUUCUUGGAGAGGUGAAAGAGGUGAAAGAACAAGUUGUGUGCUAGAAAACUUUUGAGGAAUUCUUAUUUGUGUUAGAGCAGAGGAGGUCCCAGAUACCAAGUGGCGCCUCCCAGGAAAGGCUGGGAGAAGAGGUGGCCUGGAGUACCCCGAGAUCCCAGCAGCACACACAGUGGAGGGAUGAGGAUGGAUGGGUCCUAACCCCCGAUUUUGAUGGGAUGUGUUCAUGUCCUAUCUCCUCUCCUGGACACAUUAAGGGGUUGGGACAAGAAGAGACUCCUGUGAGAUCAGCAGACCUUGUGUUUAAGGAGAGAAUGCCUGCCUGCAACACUCAUGGAGAGGGACACUUCCUGGCCCCACCUGCUAAAUACCUCCAAACUCUGGGCAGGCGCCUGCAUUCUCAACACAGGACUUCCCUUACAGUUUCCCGACCAGUGACCACCACCACGUUCAGGUUUCUGAAUGCAGACCCACCACGAGGGAUGGAUUCCACCCGCCCGCCCUGCUGCAGAUAUAUGCAGCACAGCAGGCACGUGCCUGGAGAGAACAGUUCCUGAGCACAGCACCCUUGGAGCCCUCACCCCGCUCACGAUCCUCACCAGUGCUGAUGAUGCCGUCAUGCUGCUGGCCUGAGACAGUAUCCCAGCUACAACAGGACGACACCGGGUUCAGGAAUAUGUGGCUAUCACCUUGAGCACUGACAGUGGCCUUCCAGGCUAGUUGCCUUCCAAACGCAGGUAGCCGACCUGCAGGAGGGCCUACAAACGGGCCCAGCAAGAGCUGGGCAACAGCUGGCUUGUGAAAUGAGACACCUCGACCAAUAUGCUUUGGGUGGACGGUGUCCUACAUGUUCAGUGGAGGCCACCAGGAGCAUCCAUGAGCGGGGAAGGGGUCCACACCCUUACAUGGCGAGUUGAUACGAUGGGGUGCUUGGUGGAUGGGCCAUGGAGGUCCGUGAGCUGGAACUGGGCACACGCCAUCCCAGAGGGCUCAGGAUGCCCCAGGAAGGAAAGAAGGGCAACAGACUACACGAUUGGACGUGUGUGGUUGACUGGGAUGAAGUUGGAGGGAGGGACAGGGCCUUGCAGGGGAUUGGUACUGAUCCCAGGGAGGAAGUGUUGGGGCUUCAUGAAGUAGGAUGAAAGGAGGCCCCUGAGCCAUGACAAGGGGCACAUCCAGGAUUUCCGCCACCCUGAAUUUAGUAGAGCUAGUAGGCCCUGGUCGUCACUCUGGGCAGGGAUGCCGUCAGCCUUGAGGGUCGCCACCCACCUGUGUGUUGCCCUCUGUCCUGGCAGGGAAACAUAAACCCCUUGUCUCACCACCAACCUUGCUUGUGUAGUCAGCAGGGCUGGCCCUGCCCCAAGGACUCACUGCAUGUACCCGGACCCCUAGGCCUGGCCUUUGCAGCAUAGUUGGGAGCUUCUGGAUUCCAUCUGCACCUGUGAGCCCCAUGCUGGCUGUGCACUGCGCGGGCCUGAGACUGCUGGAUACAAUGUUGGGCAACAACUCAGCCAGCCUGAUGGCAGCCUCAGAGGCUUACUCUAACCCAUCCCAGAAUAAAUGGAGACUUCAUGUG
RNAcentral lists this small RNA (3859 nucleotides) under Pan troglodytes (chimpanzee). RNAcentral describes it as "processed transcript". Lineage: Eukaryota; Metazoa; Chordata; Mammalia; Primates; Hominidae. The record is from RNAcentral.